This 253-nucleotide ribosomal RNA is filed under the name uncultured bacterium. Its description in RNAcentral is "partial 16S ribosomal RNA". It matches the Rfam family "Bacterial small subunit ribosomal RNA", at positions 524 to 776 of the family's 1533-position model. The record is from RNAcentral.
UACGGGGGGAGCAAGCGUUGUUCGGAUUUACUGGGCGUAAAGGGCGCGUAGGCGGCGUGGUAAGUCACUUGUGAAAUCUCCGAGCUUAACUCGGAACGGUCAAGUGAUACUGCUGUGCUAGAGUGCAGAAGGGGCAAUCGGAAUUCUUGGUGUAGCGGUGAAAUGCGUAGAUAUCAAGAGGAACACCUGAGGUGAAGACGGGUUGCUGGGCUGACACUGACGCUGAGGCGCGAAAGCUAGGGUAGCAAACGGG